AAGUUACCGCCGCUGCUGCAAUUGGGAGACCGUGUUAUGAAGAAGCAACAACAUAAGUUAGAGAUAUAGGAGAGAAGGAAGUCGCACUUUCAAAAGGAAGAAACGUUGUUUUAGUUAAGAGAGUUCUAUAUAAUUGAGAGAGAGAAAGGAAAUAGCAUCGAAAAUAUUUUACUCUGUAAUCUGACAGUUAUUCUGUUACAUUCUAUCGAUUCCAAUUUCAUCUUCAUCUUCUUCAUUUCUCACCCACACUUCACACGUGCACCGCCAUUGUCGUCUCUGUAAAUCUCCUGCAGGUUCCAUUGUUUGUGUCAAGUUUGAGCAGAGAAUGGGAGUGCGAGUAGGAUCCGGCGAACGGCCGCCGCUGUUUCUGCAAAUCCGGCGACUGAUUGUCGCCGUUCUCCCACUCAAUUGCUCUCUUAAUCGAAUGAAGGGAUGGGGAGAGAAAGCCCAAACUACCUUUCCUCGCCUCGCCUCCUUCUCUCCACCGUGAUUAGACCGCCGUAGCUUCUAUACUCUUAUACAGGCGAGACAACAAGAGUUGUGCGUCGUCGUUCUCUCGGUUGGACUGAACAAGGCAGCUGGCCCUCCUCCAACAAAAGCUAAGUUCUUAUUCUAACUCCACUGCGAAAUCCGCCCUAUCUAUUUGUAUUGCGUGUGCAAAGUCUUGUUGAGCUACUGUAAUAUAUAUGGUUCCUCCUGUUGAGCUGCUAUUCUAUUUCGACUUUGUGUUUGCUUUAUGCAGUUCAAGCUUGUUGGAGAAACAGAUCGAAACCAAGAAAAUUAAGAGCACAACAAGUUUACGUGGUUCGGCCAUUGGCCUACGUCCACGGAGGGUAAAGAGUAACUUUUAUUAUUCACUCGCCGGAGAAA
RNAcentral lists this long non-coding RNA (870 nucleotides) under Salvia miltiorrhiza (redroot sage). Its description in RNAcentral is "long non-coding RNA (SMIL_LNC006808)". Lineage: Eukaryota; Viridiplantae; Streptophyta; Magnoliopsida; Lamiales; Lamiaceae. The record is from RNAcentral.